UAACUGUGAGACUUCAAUAAAUCUCGAA
This 28-nucleotide small RNA is filed under the name Bombyx mori (domestic silkworm). RNAcentral describes it as "ovarian small RNA-19042". The record is from RNAcentral. Lineage: Eukaryota; Metazoa; Arthropoda; Insecta; Lepidoptera; Bombycidae.